ACGGGAAGGCAGCAGUGUAGGAAUAUUGGACAAUGGACGAAAGUCUGAUCCAGCUAUGCCGCGUGCAGGAUGACGGCCCUAUGGGUUGUAAACUGCUUUUAUACAGGAAGAAAAACUCCGACGUGUCGGAACUUGACGGUACUGUAAGAAUAAGGAUCGGCUAACUCCGUGCCAGCAGCCGCGGUAAUACGGAGGAUCCAAGCGUUAUCCGGAAUCUUUGGGUUUAAAGGGUCCGUAGGCGGUUUUUUAAGUCAGAGGUGAAAUCCUGCAGCUCAACUGUAGAAUUGCCUUUGAUACUGAAAGACUUGAGUUAUUGUGAAGUGGUUAGAAUGU
Molecule: ribosomal RNA, 333 nt
Filed under: uncultured bacterium
Lineage: Bacteria
Description: bacterial SSU rRNA
Rfam family: Bacterial small subunit ribosomal RNA
Source: RNAcentral